AAGGAAGAAUUGGGCAGUUCAUUCUACAAGAAUCAAGAAGCCUCUAGAAGGAAUGAAAGUUAGCAGCCAGCUCAGCCCAUUUCUACUGGAGGUAAUUCCGGAAUGCAUGUGAAGGCAGCAGCUACAAAACUAUAUAUAGGCAAAGAGAGUGAGGGUGGGGCAUUAAUUGAAUUUUGUAAUUUUCCAGCUAAGUAUAGCUUGAGGGCAGUGUUUAUACUGCUGAGGUGUGGGGAAAUAUUAGUUUCCUGUACACCUGGACCUGAUUGGGUAUUAUUGAAUAAAACUUUCUCCUUCUCUUGCUGCCAUUUUCUGCUUCUAUUCUCUGUGUUUCCUUAAUUGUUUGAUGCACUGAUUCCUUACUCUAUUACUAGUUAGUUUCAAG
RNAcentral lists this unclassified non-coding RNA (382 nucleotides) under Hevea brasiliensis (rubber tree). The record is from RNAcentral. Lineage: Eukaryota; Viridiplantae; Streptophyta; Magnoliopsida; Malpighiales; Euphorbiaceae.